GAUCCUGGCUCAGGAUGAACGCUGGCGGCGUGCUUAACACAUGCAAGUCGAACGGGAAACAUUUUAUUGAAGCUUCGGCAGAUUUAGCUUGUUUCUAGUGGCGGACGGGUGAGUAACGCGUGGGUAACCUGCCUUAUACCGGGGGAUAACAGCCAGAAAUGGCUGCUAAUACCGCAUAAGUGCACAGGACCGCAUGGUUCCGUGUGAAAAACUCCGGUGGUAUAAGAUGGACCCGCGUUGGAUUAGCUAGUUGG
Molecule: ribosomal RNA, 254 nt
Filed under: uncultured bacterium
Lineage: Bacteria
Description: partial 16S ribosomal RNA
Rfam family: Bacterial small subunit ribosomal RNA
Source: RNAcentral